GAUCAUGGCUCAGGAUGAACGCUAGCUACAGGCUUAACACAUGCAAGUCGAGGGGCAGCAUGAACUUAGCUUGCUAAGGUUUGAUGGCGACCGGCGCACGGGUGAGUAACACGUAUCCAACCUUCCGUUUACUCAGGGAUAGCCUUUCGAAAGAAAGAUUAAUACCUGAUAGUAUGGUGAGAUUGCAUGAUAGCACCAUUAAAGAUUUAUUGGUAAACGAUGGGGAUGCGUUCCAUUAGGUAGUAGGCGGGGUAACGGCCCACCUAGCCGACGAUGGAUAGGGGUUCUGAGAGGAAGGUCCCCCACAUUGGAACUGAGACACGGUCCAAACUCCUACGGGAGGCAGCAGUGAGGAAUAUUGGUCAAUGGGCGAGAGCCUGAACCAGCCAAGUAGCGUGAAGGAUGAAGGUCCUACGGAUUGUAAACUUCUUUUAUACGGGAAUAAAGUAUCCUACGUGUAGGAUUUUGUAUGUACCGUAUGAAUAAGCAUCGGCUAACUCCGUG
RNAcentral lists this ribosomal RNA (504 nucleotides) under uncultured bacterium. RNAcentral's name for it is "bacterial SSU rRNA". It matches the Rfam family "Bacterial small subunit ribosomal RNA", at positions 15 to 507 of the family's 1533-position model. The record is from RNAcentral.